UUUGGGUUGUAACUUGCUGGC
Molecule: non-coding RNA, 21 nt
Filed under: Caenorhabditis elegans
Lineage: Eukaryota; Metazoa; Nematoda; Chromadorea; Rhabditida; Rhabditidae
Source: RNAcentral